Molecule: unclassified non-coding RNA, 154 nt
Filed under: soil metagenome
Description: partial internal transcribed spacer 1
Source: RNAcentral
CCGAGUUAUCAACUCCCAAACCCCUGUGAACAUACCUUUUGUUGCCUCGGCGGGAUCGCACCGGCGCCUCCGGGCCCGGAUCCAGGCGCCCGCCGCAGGACCCAAACUCUUGUUUUCCAUAUGAAUCUUCUGAGUGACACAAGCAAAUAAAUUA